Molecule: ribosomal RNA, 462 nt
Filed under: Streptococcus gordonii
Lineage: Bacteria; Bacillati; Bacillota; Bacilli; Lactobacillales; Streptococcaceae
Description: bacterial SSU rRNA
Rfam family: Bacterial small subunit ribosomal RNA
Source: RNAcentral
GACGAACGCUGGCGGCGUGCCUAAUACAUGCAAGUAGAACGCACAGUUUAUACCGUAGCUUGCUACACCAUAAACUGUGAGUUGCGAACGGGUGAGUAACGCGUAGGUAACCUGCCUGGUAGCGGGGGAUAACUAUUGGAAACGAUAGCUAAUACCGCAUAAUAUUAAUUAUUGCAUGAUAAUUGAUUGAAAGAUGCAACUGCAUCACUACCAGAUGGAUCUGCGUUGUAUUAGCUAGUAGGUGAGGUAACGGCUCACCUAGGCGACGAUACAUAGCCGACCUGAGAGGGUGAUCGGCCACACUGGGACUGAGACACGGCCCAGACUCCUACGGGAGGCAGCAGUAGGGAAUCUUCGGCAAUGGACGAAAGUCUGACCGAGCAACGCCGCGUGAGUGAAGAAGGUUUUCGGAUCGUAAAGCUCUGUUGUAAGAGAAGAACGGGUGUGAGAGUGGAAAGUUCA